GAAGCUCUUUAUUAUCUUUACUCACGUUACGUCAAGAACUCUAUAUAUCUUAAUAACUUAAUAACUUUUUAUGGCUUAUGAGGGCUUGAUCUCAGAAGAAGAAAAAGUUGAAUUAGUGGGAAAGAUAGCUUCAGUAAUUGACAAAGAAAAUUUAAGCUCAAAUGUACUUGGUAAAAAUGAAGUAAAAAUAGCUGUGGAGAAGAUUUUAGCCCUUCAACGCCACCAGCCAGAAGUUUGCUUGGAAGUUGAAGUGAUUUCAGCCUUUGACAUUCCUAAGUAUAAGUACGAUGAAACCCAAAAGCGCUUUGUAAGCGCGCCUAAUAGAAAAACUUUGUUUUCUACUGCCGAAGAAAAAAGUUUAUUGUAUCGUGAAAGAUACUUGCUUAUUUUGCAAAGAUUAAGAAGAAAUUCAAUAUUUGCGCCUCCUCCUCUUUGGGCAUCUACGCGCCGUUCUUAUCACAAACUUUUAACAGUCGAUUCGCUAUCAAGCAUUAUGUGCGCGUCUGGUGCGGAAGAUCAGAAUCUGGUAGUGCUCUUUGGAAUGCUUUCUCAGCUUGAAGAGGGGAAGUUUUAUUUGGAAGAUCUCACUGGUCACGUGUUGUUAGACUUUACUGAAGCCAAAGUUACUGCUGGAUUGUUUGUAGAAAACUCGAUGGCGCUUGUGCAGGGGCUUUACGCGGAAGGGCUCCUCCGGGUUCAGGUCCUCGGCUCGCCUCCCACGGAGAGUAAAGAAUUGAGCAGAGACGUUCUGAAAAGCGCGAAUUUCUUUGGCGGAACUUUUGUGCACGACUAUUUCGUCAUGGAUGAGUUGGGUAAAAAAGAAGCUGACAAUGAGACGGCUAUGAUAGUGUGUCUGUCGGAUGUGUGGCUGGAUAAACCUGAGGUACUGGAGAAACUAAACGAGCUGCUUCGGGGCUACGAACCUUUGCUCCCUGAAGCUUUUAUCUUUAUGGGAAAUUUUUCUCGUGGACCCCAGAGCGCGCACUCCUUUUUUGAGCUGCGAGUUACAGACCUCUUCAAAAAGCUGGCUGGAGUGCUUGCACAGUAUAAGCAGCUAGUGAUGCGCAGCAAGUUUAUCUUUGUGCCUGGGCCUCAGGAUCCCGGCCCAGGCCACGUCCUUCCACGGCCGCCCUUACCGGACGUACUGACCAAGCCUCUGAAGGACCUACUUAAGCAUAACGCGGUCUUCGCCACCAAUCCCUGCCGCGUGAGAUAUGGCACCCAAGAAAUUGUUGUGUUCCGGGAAGACCUCAUCGCGAAGCUCAAACGAAAUAGCGUUCUUACCCCGUCCGCCGACGAGGGGCCGCUCCACUUCCACAUGGUCAAGACUCUUAUGGAACAGUCGCAUCUCUCGCCGCUUCCUCUGCACGCAAGCCCGAUUUACUGGUGGUUCGACCACGCGCUACGUUUGUAUCCCCUUCCCGAUACCCUGAUUCUCGGAGACCAAUACGCGCACUUCACGGUGGAGUAUGAGGGGGUGAGCUGUUUCAAUCCGGGUUCGUUCCUGUCUUCGGGGUUUCACUUCAUGGUCUACUGGUUGGCCGCCAGAAAACCGGAACUCAGGUAUCAAGCAGAGUAAGGUAGCAGCCACUGAAUAUGCUACCGUGCUGAAUUUUUGUCCUCCGACCUUGAGCAUAUAAUAAAACAUGAAGCACAACACGUGGCAAUGAGACUGCCGGAGGGAGCCACUACGCUCGGAGUGGUCAUCCCCACGAGAUACACCAGGUUCCUCAGGAUUUUCUUAGCUGUACAGCGAAACGGAUGGGUCGAGUUCUAUAGCAAUUCACAACGUUAGCAAACAGACCAAUAACUUGCUCCUGGCGUAAAAUUUCCAGCGGGUCAGGAGAUGUAUAGCGUUUUCUCUGCAAACUCAGCAGUUGCGAAAAAUAUUCUGCAUUGGUAAGGAAAAAAAACCGAGUAGCUCCUGGGCAAGUGCGCUGCCCGGCUGAUCAGGAUUACUGUAGUCAAGAGUUUAAU
Molecule: RNA transcript, 1977 nt
Organism: Zophobas morio
Lineage: Eukaryota; Metazoa; Arthropoda; Insecta; Coleoptera; Tenebrionidae
Gene name: DNA polymerase epsilon subunit 2-like
Exons: 15
Source: RefSeq, a predicted model, not a curated record